AUGGCUUCUCAGCCUUUUGGCUAAGAUCAAGUGCAGUUUCUGUUCUUACCAGUUUAGCAUCCAAUACAUCCUCUAUCUGAGGACAAUAUGUUAAAAGGGCUUUUAGAACGAGGAGAUGGAAUAGGAGCUUGCUCGGUCCACUCCACGCGUGAUCUGGUAUUGCAGGACUUCCAAGAACGGUGCACGAGAA
Small nuclear RNA from Phyllostomus discolor (pale spear-nosed bat), 190 nucleotides. RefSeq annotates it as U2 spliceosomal RNA. NCBI's taxonomy places the organism in Eukaryota, Metazoa, Chordata, Mammalia, Chiroptera, Phyllostomidae. The transcript has a single exon. The record is from RefSeq and is a predicted model, not a curated record.